This 492-nucleotide ribosomal RNA is filed under the name uncultured bacterium. RNAcentral describes it as "partial 16S ribosomal RNA". It matches the Rfam family "Bacterial small subunit ribosomal RNA", at positions 29 to 507 of the family's 1533-position model. The record is from RNAcentral.
AGUGAACGCUGGCGGUAGGCCUAACACAUGCAAGUCGAACGGCAGCACAGUAAGAGCUUGCUCUUACGGGUGGCGAGUGGCGGACGGGUGAGGAAUACAUCGGAAUCUACUUUUUCGUGGGGGAUAACGUCGGGAAACUUACGCUAAUACCGCAUACGACCUACGGGUGAAAGCAGGGGAUCUUCGGACCUUGCGCGAGUGAAUGAGCCGCUGUCGGGUUAGCUAGUUGGCGGGGUAAAGGCCCACCAAGGCGACGAUCCGUAGCUGGUCUGAGAGGAUGAUCAGCCACACUGGAACUGAGAAACGGUCCCGACUCCUACGGGAGGCAGCAGUGGGGAAUAUUGGACAAUGGGCGCAAGCCUGAUCCAGCCAUACCGCGUGGGUGAAGAAGGCCUUCGGGUUGUAAAGCCCUUUUGUUGGGAGAGAAGAGCAGCAGGUUAAUACCCCGCUGUUCUGACGGUACCCAAAGAAUAAGCACCGGCUAACUUCGUG